UUGCUCUAGUAGCCUAUGUACUAAAACUAGACCAUACAGAGCAAGUUAAUAUGGCCCCUGCACAAGGAUGAUGUGAAACUUUUAGACAUGUUCACAUUUUUC
This is a small nuclear RNA of Pteronotus mesoamericanus, 102 nucleotides long. The record is from RefSeq and is a predicted model, not a curated record. Lineage: Eukaryota; Metazoa; Chordata; Mammalia; Chiroptera; Mormoopidae.